Molecule: ribosomal RNA, 490 nt
Filed under: uncultured bacterium
Lineage: Bacteria
Description: partial 16S ribosomal RNA
Rfam family: Bacterial small subunit ribosomal RNA
Source: RNAcentral
GAUGAACGCUCGCGGCAGGCCUAAUACAUGCAAGUCGAACGGGAUCCAGAUCAAAGCUUGCUUUGGUCUGGUGAGAGUGGCGCACGGGUGCGUAACGCAUGAGCAACCUACCCUUGUCAGGGGGAUAGCCCGGCGAAAGUCGGAUUAAUACCGCAUGACAUCAUUGAGAGGCAUCUUUCGAUGAUCAAAGAUUUAUCGGACAAGGAUGGGCUCGCGUGACAUUAGCUAGUUGGUAAGGUAACGGCUUACCAAGGCUGCGAUGUCUAGGGGCUCUGAGAGGAGAAUCCCCCACACUGGUACUGAGACACGGACCAGACUCCUACGGGAGGCAGCAGUAAGGAAUAUUGGUCAAUGGACGGAAGUCUGAACCAGCCAUGCCGCGUGCAGGAAGACGGCCCUAUGGGUUGUAAACUGCUUUUAUACGGGAACAAACGUCGGUACGUGUACCGGUCUGAGUGUACCGUAAGAAUAAGGAUCGGCUAACUCCGUG